UGGAGGGCUUGGGCCCUAUUUUUAUUUAUCUUUAUUUCUAUUCACAUGUAGCACAGUGCUAAAUAAAUGUUUGCGAAGUGUCAGCUGAGGUCAACCUACUCCACCAUAUUGCUCUCAGCUGGCUCUUCCAAAUUGAGAAUGUGGAGGAGGAAGAGGAUCUUUUUCUAGUUGCUGGGACUUGUUGCUUGAGACAAAGCUGUUUUUCUCAUUUCAGUGACAUAUACGUGACAGAUGAGGUUGAUGGACUACAGAAAUACAGAUUCUAACUCAGAUGAAAAGCUUAAAUUAUUCUGCAGUCCCACAGAAUUCAAGAAAGAAACUGAGAAGUUGGGAUUUCCAAGGACUUGAUGUUAGCAUUUUCGAAACACACGAUGAAAUCAACAACGAAGUAUGAUUUUGGGGGAGCCACUGCCAUUCAUCUUGAAUCAAGAGAGAGAAGCCUCCAAGGCAUGAAGCAAACACCCACGAAG
This 470-nucleotide long non-coding RNA is filed under the name Pongo abelii (Sumatran orangutan). Its description in RNAcentral is "lncRNA (ENSPPYG00000031815.1)". The record is from RNAcentral. Lineage: Eukaryota; Metazoa; Chordata; Mammalia; Primates; Hominidae.